Molecule: small nuclear RNA, 97 nt
Filed under: Cricetulus griseus (Chinese hamster)
Lineage: Eukaryota; Metazoa; Chordata; Mammalia; Rodentia; Cricetidae
Source: RNAcentral
GCUUGCUUGGGAAGCAUAUAUUGGAACAAUACAGAGAUGAUUAGCAUGGCCCCUGCACAAGGAUGGCAUUCAAAUUUAUGAAGUGUUUCAUAUUUAA